GAACAAAGCUUCAUUCUUCAGGGAGAAAAACAUGAGCCAUUGUAUGGCAGGAAAGAGUUCCUAGAGAGAGAAUACAAAGACGGUCUGUAUUGCAAAAGAAGCCCCAGGCUGAAGACUG
This is a long non-coding RNA of Cebus imitator (Panamanian white-faced capuchin), 118 nucleotides long. RefSeq lists it as uncharacterized. Lineage: Eukaryota; Metazoa; Chordata; Mammalia; Primates; Cebidae. The record is from RefSeq and is a predicted model, not a curated record. The transcript has 2 exons.